RNAcentral lists this unclassified non-coding RNA (252 nucleotides) under Hevea brasiliensis (rubber tree). The record is from RNAcentral. Lineage: Eukaryota; Viridiplantae; Streptophyta; Magnoliopsida; Malpighiales; Euphorbiaceae.
CGCGAUUGCGUCGCGCAUCUCAUGAUAUUUGAGAAUCGGUCCGGCGAGCAGUUUGGGAAAGAACAGCACGAACAGGCAGUAGUCUGAAAACCGCUCCGCCGGUUUCGAGACGCCGCGGUAGGUAUCCACGAGAUAGGUGAUCUUCUCGAACACGACGAAAGACACGCCGAUCGGCAGCGCGAUGUGAAGCNAGCCGCAAACGGCGACAGGAUGAGGUUGAUAUUCGUCGCAAGAAAAUCGGCAUAUUUGUAG